RNAcentral lists this long non-coding RNA (2247 nucleotides) under Anas platyrhynchos platyrhynchos (common mallard). RNAcentral's name for it is "lncRNA (ENSAPLG00000019884.1)". Lineage: Eukaryota; Metazoa; Chordata; Aves; Anseriformes; Anatidae. The record is from RNAcentral.
GAAAUGAGCUGUUGCUAAGGAUGCUUCUGGAUCAGCUGAAGUGAAGAAUAUAUGCAUGUGAAGCUUCACUUGUUAUGUUCAUCAGGCUUAGCAUACAAUAUGCCACCAAAAAAAACAUCAUGAAUUUGAAACAUAAAAACACAUAAAUAACUUAAGAAAGAUACAACAAUGCAUUAUUUUUAGGAGUUAUAGGCAAAUAUUUUCACAAAGAUUGGAGAAAAAACACCAGUUUAGAAAAAAUGGCAAACAGGAAAACAGGAAAAGACUCUUCAAUGAAUACAUGACACAUUGAAUUAUUCUCCUAGUUAUUGCUAUUUCAGUGUCUGGUGCAAGUAAGGCAAAAUAACUCAAAGCUAAAUCAAGAGCUAACUACAAAUGCUGAAUGGUGGCAGGUGCGCAGCUACAAGAACUUAAACACAUUCAACAACUUUGGGAUACAAGCUGCUGCUGAGUGAAUUAAUGCAUUUAUAUUGAACUUUGUUAUGACUAAAACAUUCCCAGUGCUUACAGAAGCAGGCAACGCUCUCUGAAUGGGAGGUCUAUUAUAGGUAAGUUGGGCAUUACAACCAAUACAGCAAUGAUGUUGAAGGCAGCUUGCAUGAUAUGAACCAGAUGCUAUCCGGUCUGCCAGAUUCUGGCUUCUUACACAGUCUUUGGAGAGAAGUAGUCAUGAUAUCUAUAUUAGACACUUGGCACUGGAUUAACUGCAUAUGUACAGACUGGCAGUACUCCACAUGCAUAUGGUUGAGUUCAAGAAGGUAGGCAUUGGCUACCUCUGUGUUGUCUUGAAUAGAUUUGCUAGACCGUGCUCUAGCAAUGUCCACCCUACAUGCUAUGUGCCUGUCUGAGGAUUUGGUCAAAAACAUGAAGAACACCAGCACAUGGAUUAGAGGCAAUCCAAGAGGCCAGCUGUGGCAUGAAGACUGGGAUCCCCUGCAGUACGAACAAUCUUCCUAACAUAAAUGCUUCUGAACUUUUUGAACAACAAAGCAGGCAUUUCAGUCCAUUUAUCUUCUCAUUCUCCAGAAUUUUUCCAGUUCCUCUUCAGUCUUCCUAAUGCUGAACAGCUUCAUGACUGCCUCACACCUACACCAGAACAAGAUAUCCCUCUCCUUGUUAUCAGCAGAAAGGCUCCAUCUCACUGGCAAUCUCAGCACCAACUUGCCCCGCAGAUGUCUUUCCGAAGCACAGCUGCCAGGGAAGGACAUACACAUGGCACCUUUUUCUAUGUUCUUCUUAAUCAAGUCUCAGACUUUAGAGAACGAUGUUGGAGAAAGUUAUCUCCAUUGUUUGGGAACAGUCACAUACAGAGUGCUUUCUGAAUAGUAGUGUGGCAUGUCGGGAUUCUACUUCAAGAGACAACACUUUGUAAAACUUCUCAGUACUGCUGGGUGUAAGCCUGUGUUCAAAGACUACAUCUCAAACAUUGCUGCAUCAUGUUAUUUGAACCUACUCUUAAUACAGACACUUCUGAUCAAGAUAAACCUUGAAAAUAUUUUUCCAGUCUAUUGUGUUUCACAAAAGCUAAAGAAGCUCCUGAAAAAACAAACAAACAAACAAACAAAAAAACGUUGCAUUAUUAACAUCCAUACCCAGAGGGUACAGGGAGGAAGGAAGAGGCCUGACUAGUGUGUCUAUUCCUAUAUCAUCCUAGAUAUAAACUAUGUUGUAAGUCAAGUGUUGUUGCAGAGAUCUCCUUUUUAUUUCCUUUUUUUUCUUUUUUAAAGAAAGGGAAAGCACUCUCCAUCUCUCCACAAUUAAUGAUGAGACUAAAAAUAUCAGUUUCAUAUAUGCACUAGUAAAUAAUUCACUUCUACAGCAACAUCAGUCGGUGAGCAAUCUCUGCAAUUUGUCUGUUCUCUGGAGACUCUCAAGGAAAAAUCUCUGCUCAGCUGGAGUGACUGUGGCAGGUAACUGCCUCAUAUUGAUCUGCAUUGCCUCAAUAUCCACCUAAGGGCCUAAGAGUACAAUUUUCCGUUCUUUGUGGUUUGGAGCUAUUGCAGCAAAACCUCUGUUUAAGCAGACUAACUGACUGUGGUACUUUCAGAUGGAAGACAGUUAACUGUGAUUCUGUCUACAGGCUCCUUUGUAACACCUAAGUCACUUACGUGUGUAGUGACUGGAAAUUAAGUACCUGAAGUACCUAAUGUUGCCCUAACUGCAUUGAAUUCAGUCACAGGACAGAAGGGAUGACUGAAAAGACAUUUUCUCUCCAAAACAGGAUCAGAAUGGGAUAUUAAGGACUUG